GUUGUGGCUCAGCGGUAGAGCGCUUGCCUUGCAUGUGCAAGGCCCUGGGUUCAAUCCUCAGCACAACA
RNAcentral lists this transfer RNA (68 nucleotides) under Ictidomys tridecemlineatus (thirteen-lined ground squirrel). RNAcentral's name for it is "Spermophilus tridecemlineatus (thirteen-lined ground squirrel) tRNA". It matches the Rfam family "tRNA". Rfam says of the family: Transfer RNA (tRNA) molecules are approximately 80 nucleotides in length. Their secondary structure includes four short double-helical elements and three loops (D, anti-codon, and T loops). Lineage: Eukaryota; Metazoa; Chordata; Mammalia; Rodentia; Sciuridae. The record is from Rfam by way of RNAcentral.